UUUGGUAGCUUCACGCUGAGAGGAAGCGAAGGGAUGAGAUAAGGACGCUUGCUUGCUUGUUCCAAAGAACUUUUAUUCCCCCAUGCAUGGUGGGAUGCUCUCUGGACUGCAUGCAGCGCAAAUGCCAACGGACAAAGAACUUGCAACAGAUUAAGUAGGGAAUGGGUGGACAGGGAUGGAAACCUGCCUCACCCUAUAGGGACAGACUACAGGGGAGUGACAUGGAUUAUAACAACCUAUGGGAACAUAACAGAGGGAGUGGCUACAAGACUGACACCUCAAAAAGGAGUGAGCAAACCUUGACUGACAGAACCACGUAAGGAGAAAACUGUGAGAAGUGAGAAGAUUGACAGGGCUUUCCGACAUUAUUUGAGCAUACUGUGCACAUAAUGCUAUGACAAACCAGUGAGAUAUAGGUAGUGUGCAGGAUAUUAGGAGGCUCUGCAUUAUUUUCAAUAAAAGGUAAGUAGGUCUAAUUUUUCUAUUUUUUAAAUUCUAAUUUAUUAUUAUUUUUAGUGGCUGUGAAGAUAAUUCUAUGUCUGAAAAAAGGAAAUAAGAGACCAGCAUUAUGCAAAUGAACACGUCUGUAUUGGCACAAAAGAACUAAAAAAAUAUGAAUGGUGGAUUGGAGUUGUUUUAACAGAACAAUGAAAGAUGAAUGACUAUAUAUCAAGUUUUAAUGAAUACCUGACUGAGGAGGCAUAUGAAAACAGCAUGAGCAGAAUUUAGACAAAGGAUAUUCUCAAUAGGAUAUUAGUGAUAAAAACUCCCCUGCUCAAAAAUGAGACAGAGAUGAAACUUCAUAUUCAGCAGAACGCAAUACUGCCAAUAUGGACAUCAAACUUUUUGUUUUUCAAUUCCAACCCAUAAAACUUUACAUUCCAGUUGAGUAAUAA
Molecule: long non-coding RNA, 896 nt
Organism: Vidua macroura (Pin-tailed whydah)
Lineage: Eukaryota; Metazoa; Chordata; Aves; Passeriformes; Viduidae
Exons: 3
Source: RefSeq, a predicted model, not a curated record